GACGAACCGAGCGAACGUUGUUCGGAAUCACUGGGCUUAAAGGGCGCGUAGGCGGGCUGUCAAGUCUGGGGUGAAAUCCCGCGGCUCAACCGUGGAACUGCCUCAGAUACUGACGGCCUCGAGGGAGGUAGGGGCGAGCGGAACUGUGAGUGGAGCGGUGAAAUGCGUUGAUAUUCACAGGAACUCCGGUGGCGAAGGCGGCUCGCUGGACCUUUUCUGACGCUGAGGCGCGAAAGCUAGGGGAGCAAACGGG
This 253-nucleotide ribosomal RNA is filed under the name uncultured bacterium. RNAcentral's name for it is "partial 16S ribosomal RNA". It matches the Rfam family "Bacterial small subunit ribosomal RNA", at positions 524 to 776 of the family's 1533-position model. RNAcentral also lists the same sequence under 1 other name. The record is from RNAcentral.